CCUAUGGGUGGCAGCAGUGGGGAAUAUUGGACAAUGGGCGAAAGCCUGAUCCAGCCAUGCCGCGUGUGUGAAGAAGGCCUUCGGGUUGUAAAGCACUUUCAGUGGGGAAGAAAGCCUUGGGGCUAAUACCCUCGAGGAAGGACAUCACCCACAGAAGAAGCACCGGCUAACUCCGUGCCAGCAGCCGCGGUAAUACGGAGGGUGCGAGCGUUAAUCGGAAUUACUGGGCGUAAAGCGCGCGUAGGCGGUCUGAUAAGCCGGUUGUGAAAGCCCCGGGCUCAACCUGGGAACGGCAUCCGGAACUGUCAGGCUAGAGUGCAGGAGAGGAAGGUAGAAUUCCCGGUGUAGCGGUGAAAUGCGUAGAGAUCGGGAGGAAUACCAGUGGCGAAGGCGGCCUUCUGGACUGACACUGACGCUGAGGUGCGAAAGCGUGGGUAGCAAACAGGAUUAGAUACCCGUGUAGUC
Molecule: ribosomal RNA, 465 nt
Filed under: Vreelandella stevensii
Lineage: Bacteria; Pseudomonadati; Pseudomonadota; Gammaproteobacteria; Oceanospirillales; Halomonadaceae
Description: partial 16S ribosomal RNA
Rfam family: Bacterial small subunit ribosomal RNA
Source: RNAcentral